GGCAACCGCUUCACAACGGAUCGUCCGGCACGUACCUGCCGGUGAAGGAAGGAUCGAA
Molecule: non-coding RNA, 58 nt
Organism: Curtobacterium sp. ER1/6
Lineage: Bacteria; Bacillati; Actinomycetota; Actinomycetes; Micrococcales; Microbacteriaceae
Source: Rfam